AUUGCCUUAGUACGGCGAGUGAGCGGCAAAAGCUCAAAUUUGAAAUCUGGCACCUUCGGUGUCCGAGUUGUAAUUUGAAGAAGGUAACUUUGGAGUUGGCUCUUGUCUAUGUUCCUUGGAACAGGACGUCACAGAGGGUGAGAAUCCCGUGCGAUGAGAUGCCCAAUUCUAUGUAAAGUGCUUUCGAAGAGUCGAGUUGUUUGGGAAUGCAGCUCUAAGUGGGUGGUAAAUUCCAUCUAAAGCUAAAUAUUGGCGAGAGACCGAUAGCGAACAAGUACAGUGAUGGAAAGAUGAAAAGAACUUUGAAAAGAGAGUGAAAAAGUACGUGAAAUUGUUGAAAGGGAAGGGCUUGAGAUCAGACUUGGUAUUUUGCGAUCCUUUCCUUCUUGGUUGGGUUCCUCGCAGCUUACUGGGCCAGCAUCGGUUUGGAUGGUAGGAUAAUGGCUAAGGAAUGUGGCUCUACUUCGGUGGAGUGUUAUAGCCUUGGUUGAUACUGCCUGUCUAGACCGAGGACUGCGUCUUUUGACUAGGAUGUUGGCAUAAUGAUCUUAAGCCACCCGUCUUGAAACACGGACCA
RNAcentral lists this ribosomal RNA (577 nucleotides) under uncultured Debaryomyces. RNAcentral's name for it is "eukaryotic LSU rRNA". It matches the Rfam family "Eukaryotic large subunit ribosomal RNA", at positions 74 to 668 of the family's 3401-position model. Lineage: Eukaryota; Fungi; Ascomycota; Saccharomycetes; Saccharomycetales; Saccharomycetaceae. The record is from RNAcentral.